GAUGAACGCUAGCGAUAGGCUUAACACAUGCAAGUCGAGGGGCAGCAUGGUCUUAGCUUGCUAAGACUGAUGGCGACCGGCGCACGGGUGCGUAACGCGUAUGCAACUUGCCUCACAGAGGGGGAUAACCCGUCGAAAGACGGACUAAUACCGCGUACACUCCAUCUUGGGCAUCCAAGGUAGAGGAAAUGAAAUUCGCUGUGAGAUAGGCAUGCGUCCCAUUAGCUAGUUGGUGAGGUAACGGCUCACCAAGGCGACGAUGGGUAGGGGAACUGAGAGGUUGACCCCCCACACGGGUACUGAGACACGGACCAGACUACUACGGGAGGCAGCAGUGAGGAAUAUUGGUCAAUGGGCGAGAGCCUGAACCAGCCAAGUCGCGUGAAGGAUGACUGUCUUAUGGAUUGUAAACUUCUUUUAUACGGGAAUAACAAGAGUCACGUGUGACUCCCUGCAUGUACCGUAUGAAUAAGCAUCGGCUAACUCCGUG
This 490-nucleotide ribosomal RNA is filed under the name uncultured bacterium. Its description in RNAcentral is "partial 16S ribosomal RNA". It matches the Rfam family "Bacterial small subunit ribosomal RNA", at positions 28 to 507 of the family's 1533-position model. The record is from RNAcentral.